AUCAUUUUUUCUUUUGUAGCUAGAACUUUUCGUAUUAAUAUUAUAUCUAAAAAUCCACUAUCAAACCUAAUGUCACUCAUUACAUGUAAAGCAUACUUUCUUUUUCAACUAUUCUAGUGGUUCCCCAGAGUAUCCAAUACACAUUUGUUACUAAUCUAAGAUCACCUUCAAAUAGCACUCCACCAGUUCACAUAUAGUGCAGGUACCUUAAUAAGAAGUUACAGCGUGCUGGCAGCCCUUGCUCGCUCUCCGUGUCUCCUCGGCCUGGACGUCCACUCUGGCCACGCUUGAGGAGCCCUUCGCCCCACCGCUGCACUGUGGGAGCCCGUCUGUGGGCUGGCCAAGGCCGGAGCAUGCUCCCUCUGCUUGCGGGGAGGUGUGGAGGGAGAGGCACAGGCGGGAACUGAGGCUGCGCGCGGCACACGCGGGGGCGGCCCUGCACUCAGAGCGGUCAGGCUGGCGCCACAGGCCCUGGGCAGUGAGGGGCUUAGCACCCAGGGCCAGCCGCUGCGGAGUAUGCGCUGAGUUCCGCAUCACUGCCAGCCCGCCCGCUCUAGGCUCGAAUUCUUGCCAGGCCUCAGCCGCCUCGCUGUGGGGCAGGGCCCGGGACCUGCAGCCCGCCAUGCCCGAGCCUUUCCCCGCCCGCGCCUUCCCCCGUGGGCUCCCAGCGGCCAGCGGGAGUCUCCCCAACGGCACUGCCCCCUGCUUCGUGGCGCCUGGUCCCAUCAACCACCCAAGGGCUGACUAGUGCAGGCACCUGGCGUGGGACUGGCGGGCAGCUCCCCCAGCGGCCCCAGCGCGGGAUCUGCUAGGCAAGCCAGCUGGGCUCCCCAGUGAGGUGGGGUCUUGGAGAACUUUUGUGUCUAGCUGGAGGAUUGUAUAUGCGCCAAACAGCACUCUGUGUCUAGCUCAAGGUUUGUAAACGCACCAAUCAGCACCCUGUCAAAACAGGCCAAUCAGCUCUCUGCAAAAUGGACCAAUCAGCAGGAUGUGGGUGGGGUCAGGUGAGGGAAUACAAGCAGGCUGCCACAAGGGACAGUGAUAACCGGCUUGGGUCCGUUUCCGUGGUGUGGAGGGUUUGUGUUUUUGCUGUUUGCAGUAAAUCUUGCUGCACACUCUUUGGGUCCACACUGCCUUUAUGAGCUGUGACAACCACCGGGAAGGUCUGCAGCUUCACUCCUGAGGCCGGUGAGACCAGGAACCCACUGAGAGGAAUGAAUAACUCCAGACGUGCUGCCUUAAGAGCUGUAACACUCACCGCGAAGGUCUGCAGCUUCACUCCUGAAGCCAGCAAGACCACAAACCCACCAGAAGGAAGAAACUCCGAACACGUCUGAACGUCAGAACAAAUUCCGGACACACCAUCUUUAAGAACUGUAACACUCACCACUAGGGUCUGCAGCUUCAUUCUUGAAGUCAGUGAGACCAAGAACCCACCAAUUCUGGACACGUUAAUAGAAUAGUCCCAGUUCAUCCUUCAUAUCUUUUGUAACAUAACCAUCAGGCAUUUCACUUACCCACAUGCUGUAAUUGCCCAAAACAUUUACUAAUAUUACUUUAAACAAACAUGUAGUUUAAAAAGAUUUACAAUAAGAAAAAUAAAACAUUUUUUUUUCCUUUUUCAACAUACUUGCUUUCUUAUUGUAAAUACAGGUUUCUGAUCUAUAUCACUCUUCUCCUCCAUGAAUAACCUCUUUUAACACAUUUGCAGGAAAGUUUUCUGGCAAUAUAUUCCGUUAGUGUUUUAUUGUCUGGUAAAUUCUGAUUUCCCCUCUGCUUUUGAAGUAUAAUUUUGCUAGAUGUAGAAUUCUAAGUUGGUGCAUUUAUUCCUAAACAUUUCCCGCAACUCUCUUCUUUCUUGCCUGGUUUCUUACUGGAAGUGGGCUGAAAUCCUUGCUCUUUUUUCUCUACAAGGAAUGUAGUUUUCAUUCCAGAUUCUGUCAAGAUUUUCUCUUUGUCUAUUUAUUGAUUUAUUUUAUUUUAUUUUAUUCUACAUAUAGGUAAUGCUAUGUCUGGUGCUGUAUUUUUGUUGUUUGUCAUGAAUUGUAUUCUCUGAGCUUCCUGGACCGGUUGUUUGUUUCAUGUCAUUAUGCUUUAAAAUUUCUUGACCAUUACUCAUUUAGAUAGAUUCUCCUCAUUUCUCUCUUUCUUGUCUUUCUGCUAUUCCAGUUUCCCAUUUUGUACAACUUUAGAAACUGCCCAGCGGGUCUUUGAUGUCCUUCACUUUUUUUUUCCGUUUAUUUUUUCUUGGCACUUUGUUUUAAAAUGUAUUUUUGACCUAUCUUUAGUUUCACCAAUUCUUUCCCCAAACAUGUCUGGUCUACUAAUGAAACCAUUGAAAGCAUUUUAAAAAAAUCUAUUGGCG
RNAcentral lists this long non-coding RNA (2365 nucleotides) under Homo sapiens (human). RNAcentral describes it as "HSALNT0149515". Lineage: Eukaryota; Metazoa; Chordata; Mammalia; Primates; Hominidae. The record is from RNAcentral.